AACUAGUAUUACAAUGCGAGUUGGGAAAUGUGCACUUCUCGCGAUGCUGACACUCACAGUAAUGGCGAAAAGUCGAUCAAGGACGAAAGUGGCAUCAAGCUCUAUAAUUAGCUUAAGGACGGGAACAGGACUGAUCAGAAGACCAGGAAGGCUACCCAAUUCAAUAACUCCCGCAAGGCUACCGAGGUUCGCAAACAUGCUCGGAAGACAUCGGAAUGUCCCCAAACGUCAAAACUUGCGAAUCCAGCACCGUUACAGGGGACAAGGAACAAGGCGA
Long non-coding RNA from Rhipicephalus sanguineus (brown dog tick), 277 nucleotides. RefSeq lists it as uncharacterized. The transcript is spliced from 4 exons. The record is from RefSeq and is a predicted model, not a curated record. Lineage: Eukaryota; Metazoa; Arthropoda; Arachnida; Ixodida; Ixodidae.